CCUUCUUUAACUUCUUUGUGCCAUCAUUUCACUUUUCCAAGUUCUCCCAUGCUUCCCGCGAAGUUGCAGCUCCUGCAAUUUUCUCAAAGUGUGAUUCAUCAACACACUGAUGAAUCAAGAAUAUUGCUUUGUAAUCCUUCUUUUUCUUCUCUCUGUAAAGCACCUUUUGUGCGUCUGUGGAAUUUUCGGGGAGUGUUGGGUAGCCAUCUUCUACAAU
This 217-nucleotide long non-coding RNA is filed under the name Lathyrus oleraceus (garden pea). Its description in RNAcentral is "Pisum sativum (pea) long non-coding RNA (PSAT_LNC031085)". The record is from RNAcentral. Lineage: Eukaryota; Viridiplantae; Streptophyta; Magnoliopsida; Fabales; Fabaceae.